CCUACGGGAGGCAGCAGUGGGGAAUCUUGCGCAAUGGGCGAAAGCCUGACGCAGCCAUGCCGCGUGAAUGAUGAAGGUCUUAGGAUUGUAAAAUUCUUUCACCGAGGACGAUAAUGACGGUACUCGGAGAAGAAGCCCCGGCUAACUUCGUGCCAGCAGCCGCGGUAAUACGAAGGGGGCUAGCGUUGCUCGGAAUUACUGGGCGUAAAGGGAGCGUAGGCGGAUAGUUUAGUCAGAGGUGAAAGCCCAGGGCCCAACCUUGGAAUUGCCUUUGAUACUGGCUAUCUUGAGUACGGAAGAGGUAUGUGGAACUCCGAGUGUAGAGGUGAAAUUCGUAGAUAUUCGGAAGAACACCAGUGGCGAAGGCGACAUACUGGUCCGUUACUGACGCUGAGGCUCGAAAGCGUGGGGAGCAAACAGGAUUAGAUACCCUGGUAGUCCACGCUGUAAACGAUGAGUGCUAGUUGUCGGCAUGCAUGCAUGUCGGUGACGCAGACUACGACAUUAAGACACCUCCGCCGUCGGGGAGGUACGGUCGCGAAGAAUUAAACUACGAAAGAAGUUAGACGGCGUGAGACGUCGCCGACGGACGACGACGAGGGAGGAGG
Molecule: ribosomal RNA, 608 nt
Filed under: uncultured bacterium
Lineage: Bacteria
Description: bacterial SSU rRNA
Rfam family: Bacterial small subunit ribosomal RNA (bases 1-520)
Source: RNAcentral